RNAcentral lists this long non-coding RNA (1446 nucleotides) under Heterocephalus glaber (naked mole-rat). RNAcentral describes it as "lncRNA (ENSHGLG00100040713.1)". The record is from RNAcentral. Lineage: Eukaryota; Metazoa; Chordata; Mammalia; Rodentia; Bathyergidae.
GCCCUCCUCCUGGCCCCCGCCCGUCUCCUCGGAGCUGGCCCGAGGGCGGGGCGCGCAAAACCCCUUGAGCGCGUCGUCCUGCACCGUCCUGGCCCAGGACUUUAGCUGCCGGAUCGCUCCGGAGCCGAGGACCUCCCCGCGCCCCCCGCCGUCUGGGCCUCCAGGGCCGCCAAGCGAGGGUUCACAGCUGCCCGCACAUCCCGGGUCUCCCCCGCCCCAUUCUAGCCGCCCAGUUUGCCCCCUUCGGGCGAAAGUGAGGAUAAGCUGACGCUUUCCCUCAACUUCUCUGGGAGAGAGAGCCGGAGCCCCACACACUGGCUUCAGUGUCCCAGAACACUCAGCAGGAGGAGAGAACGAUUUAAGAAACAAUUUGGUUCGAAAGGCCAUGGUGAAAAUCAGCCAUUUGUACAGCUGAGACGUGGUUGUGUUUAACCCAGAGGACCUCGCUUUCAGGGAAAAAAGAAAAAGAAGAAAAAAACCUGAUGCGGCCUUUCAGACAGCGCCAAUGAGAAGAAUGUGUGAUUGGAAGCCCCGAGAACCAGCACAGGUCUUUUAAAUAUUAGAGAGAGAGUGGCGUGGCCGGGAGGAUCCCUAGCCCACAGGAGUGAGUCUGGCAGCUCCUGAAGUUUGGGGUACUCAGAAUCGGGGGGGGGGGGGGUAAUGACACAAGACCUGAAAAGAUCAUCUCAGUCAUCUCCCACGCUGGAGGAUUUGAGGAUGCACAGUCUCUUCCAAAACCAGGGCCAGGAGGAGUGGGAGGAGCUUUCUCAAGGGAGAAGAAGCAUAAGGAGAGACAAGAGUCUCUCUCCACCCCACAUACUUCCCAUAAACCACAGUGUCAGGCUCUAAAAGUAUCCCUGAUGCUCUAAAGUCAACUGAGAAACCAGUUCCAGGGGUUAAAACUUGUCUGAGAUAACAACUAAAUUCUAUUUGAUUUCCCACUAUUGGUCAUCUGCUGGGAAUGAGGCAUAAGCCCAGCUCUGUCACAUGGAGGAAAAACAUGAUGCAAUUAACCAAGUUGCUAGUGCAUCAUCUCAUCCUGACCUCUGCCACCAGCCUCCAUCCAGGCCAUCCCCUGCAAUCCCACACAGCCAGCUGGGCCCCUGGGGGCCAUCCCAGCCCUCCUCCUGGGUUCCCUUCCCAGGUCCAACUGAGGAUCUUCGUGUGAAGCUCACCUCAGGUACCUAUGUCUGAAUCCCACCAGCAGUGCAAAGACCCUUCCUGGAGGGGAAAGCUCAAGUGGGACUUGCAAUUAAGUCAACAAAUUGUUUCCUUCAACAACCCUGAAUCACAGCUCACCCAGGGACUACCUCAUCAGAGUUCCCAAGCUCAGGAGAUUCCCCUCAUCUGCUGUCAGACUUGGUGGUUGGUCAUCUUUCCACUGAUCCUGCCCAUAUUGCUACAGGCAUGUGCUCCUUUUUCAAAGUGAUGGAAAAUACAAGAAAC